Molecule: ribosomal RNA, 458 nt
Filed under: uncultured bacterium
Lineage: Bacteria
Description: partial 16S ribosomal RNA
Rfam family: Bacterial small subunit ribosomal RNA
Source: RNAcentral
CCUACGGGAGGCAGCAGUGAGGAAUAUUGGUCAAUGGGCGAGAGCCUGAACCAGCCAAGUCGCGUGAGGGAGUACUGCCCUAUGGGUUGUAAACCUCUUUUGUCGGGGAGCAAAAGCCGGACGUGUCCGGCUGUGAGAGUACCCGAAGAAAAAGCAUCGGCCAACCCCGUGCCAGCAGCCGCCGUAAUACGGAGGAUGCCAGCGUUAUCCGGAUUUAUUGGGGUUAACGGGUGCGCAGGCGGAUUUUUAAGUCAGCGGUCAAAUCGCGGGGCUCAACCCCAUCCAUCGGUUGAAACUGGGGUUCUAGAGUGGGCGAGAGGUAUGCGGAAUGCGUGGUGUAGCGGUGAAAGGCAUAGAUAUCACGCAGAACCCCGAUUGCGAAGGCAGCAUACCGGUGCACAACUGACGCUCAGGCACGAAAGCGUGGGUAUCGAACAGGAUUAGAUACCCGAGUAGUC